Molecule: ribosomal RNA, 253 nt
Filed under: uncultured bacterium
Lineage: Bacteria
Description: partial 16S ribosomal RNA
Rfam family: Bacterial small subunit ribosomal RNA
Source: RNAcentral
UACGUAGGGGGCUAGCGUUGUCCGGAUUUAUUGGGCGUAAAGAGCGUGUAGGCGGCCAGGUAGGUCUGCUGUGAAAACUCGAGGCUCAACCUCGAGACGUCGGCGGAAACCAUCUGGCUAGAGUCCGGAAGAGGAGAGUGGAAUUCCUGGUGUAGCGGUGAAAUGCGCAGAUAUCUGGAGGAACACCGGUGGCGAAGGCGGCAUCCUGGACCGGCAUUGACGCUGAGGCGCGAAAGCUAGGGGAGCAAACGGG